GUUGAACGCUGGCGGCAUGCCUAACACAUGCAAGUCGGACGGGUGGUGGUGUUUUCCGUGUCGGAUGGGCGAGUAACGGGUAAGUACUUGCUCUUGGGCUGGGUACAACAAGUGGAUAAGGUUGCUAAUAGGGCGCAGGCAGAGGAUAAGUAGGAGGGAACCGCUCGCGGGGGGGUCUGAGUUCGAUUUGCUAGUUGGGGAGUUAAUAGCUUACCAAGGCGAUGAUGUGUAGGCGGUCCGAGAGGAUGAUCAGCCACACUGGGACUGGGAGAAGGAGCAGAGUACUACGGGAGACGGGCGAGAGGAAGUUUCCGCAAUGGGGGGUAGGCUAACAAGGUCAUCGGGCGGGGAAGUAGAAGGCGCAGGGGUCGAGAACAUCUUUUCACGGAGAAGAAACAAUGACGGUAUCUGAAGAAUAAGCAUCGGCUAACUCUGUG
Molecule: ribosomal RNA, 437 nt
Filed under: uncultured bacterium
Lineage: Bacteria
Description: partial 16S ribosomal RNA
Rfam family: Bacterial small subunit ribosomal RNA
Source: RNAcentral